CCUACGGGGGGCAGCAGUAGGGAAUAUUGCUCAAUGGAGGAAACCCUGAAGCAGCAACGCCGCGUGGAGGAUGAAGGUUUUCGGAUUGUAAACUCCUUUUGUUAGAGAAGAUAAUGACGGUAUCUAACGAAUAAGCACCGGCUAACUCCGUGCCAGCAGCCACGGUAAUACGGAGGGUGCAAGCGUUACUCGGAAUCACUGGGCGUAAAGAGCGCGUAGGCGGGAUAGCAAGUCAGAUGUGAAAUCCUAUGGCUUAACCAUAGAACUGCAUUUGAAACUGUUAUUCUAGAGUAUGGGAGAGGUAGGUGGAAUUCGUGGUGGAGGGGUAAAAUGCGUAGAGAUCAAGAGGAAUACUCAUUGCGAAGGCGACCUGCUAGAACAUAACUGACGCUGAUGCGCGAAAGCGUGGGGAGCAAACAGGAUUAGAUACCCCAGUAGUC
Molecule: ribosomal RNA, 440 nt
Filed under: uncultured bacterium
Lineage: Bacteria
Description: partial 16S ribosomal RNA
Rfam family: Bacterial small subunit ribosomal RNA
Source: RNAcentral